CCUACGGGGGGCAGCAGUAAGGAAUAUUGGUCAAUGGGCGGAAGCCUGAACCAGCCAUGCCGCGUGCAGGAAGACUGCCCUAUGGGUUGUAAACUGCUUUUGUCCAGGAAUAAACCUAAAUACGAGCAUUUAGCUGAAUGUACUGGAAGAAUAAGGAUCGGCUAACUCCGUGCCAGCAGCCGCGGUAAUACGGAGGAUCCGAGCGUUAUCCGGAUUUAUUGGGUUUAAAGGGUGCGUAGGCGGCCUAUUAAGUCAGGGGUGAAAUACGGUGGCUCAACCAUCGCAGUGCCUUUGAUACUGAUGGGCUUGAAUCCAUUUGAAGUGGGCGGAAUAAGACAAGUAGCGGUGAAAUGCAUAGAUAUGUCUUAGAACUCCGAUUGCGAAGGCAGCUCACUAAGCUGGUAUUGACGCUGAUGCACGAAAGCGUGGGGAUCGAACAGGAUUAGAUACCCUUGUAGUC
This 460-nucleotide ribosomal RNA is filed under the name uncultured bacterium. RNAcentral describes it as "bacterial SSU rRNA". It matches the Rfam family "Bacterial small subunit ribosomal RNA", at positions 338 to 795 of the family's 1533-position model. The record is from RNAcentral.